This 86-nucleotide transfer RNA is filed under the name bacterium. RNAcentral describes it as "tRNA-Leu". It matches the Rfam family "tRNA". From Rfam's summary of the family: Transfer RNA (tRNA) molecules are approximately 80 nucleotides in length. Their secondary structure includes four short double-helical elements and three loops (D, anti-codon, and T loops). Further hydrogen bonds mediate the characteristic L-shaped molecular structure. tRNAs have two regions of fundamental functional importance: the anti-codon, which is responsible for specific mRNA codon recognition, and the 3' end, to which the tRNAs corresponding amino acid is attached (by aminoacyl-tRNA synthetases). tRNAs cope with the degeneracy of the genetic code in two manners: having more than one tRNA (with a specific anti-codon) for a particular amino acid; and 'wobble' base-pairing, i.e. permitting non-standard base-pairing at the 3rd anti-codon position. The record is from RNAcentral.
GCCGGAGUGGUGGAAUUGGUAGACACAAGGGACUUAAAAUCCCUCGCUCUGUUUUGGGUGUGUCGGUUCGAGUCCGACCUCCGGUA